Molecule: ribosomal RNA, 253 nt
Filed under: uncultured bacterium
Lineage: Bacteria
Description: partial 16S ribosomal RNA
Rfam family: Bacterial small subunit ribosomal RNA
Source: RNAcentral
UACGAAGGGGGCUAGCGUUGUUCGGAUUCACUGGGCGUAAAGGGUGCGUAGGUGGCAGGGUAAGUCGGAUGUGAAAUCUCCGAGCUCAACUCGGAAACUGCAUUGGAAACUACCCAGCUCGAGGGUUGGAAGGGGGACUGGAAUGCUUGGUGUAGCAGUGAAAUGCGUAGAUAUCAAGCGGAACACCAGUGGCGAAGGCGAGUCCCUGGACAACUCCUGACGCUGAGGCACGAAAGCCAGGGGAGCAAACGGG